This 380-nucleotide ribosomal RNA is filed under the name uncultured eukaryote. RNAcentral's name for it is "partial 18S ribosomal RNA". It matches the Rfam family "Eukaryotic small subunit ribosomal RNA", at positions 592 to 976 of the family's 1831-position model. The record is from RNAcentral.
CAAUAGCGUAUAUUAAAGUUGUUGCGGUUAAAAAGCUCGUAGUUGGAUUUCUGCUGAGAACGACCGGUCCGCCCUUUGGGUGUGUAUCUGGCUCUUUCUUGGCAUCUUCUUGGUGAACGUUGCUGCACUUGACUGUGUGGAGCGCUACCCAGGACUUUUACUUUGAGGAAAUUAGAGUGUUUCAAGCAGGCAUACGCCUUGAAUACAUUAGCAUGGAAUAAUAAGAUAGGACCUCGGUUCUAUUUUGUUGGUUUCUAGAGCUGAGGUAAUGAUUAAUAGGGAUAGUUGGGGGCAUUCGUAUUUAACUGUCAGAGGUGAAAUUCUUGGAUUUGUUAAAGACGGACUACUGCGAAGNCANNNGCCAAGGAUGUUUUCAUNGA